RNAcentral lists this ribosomal RNA (557 nucleotides) under Cladosporium sp. MM 1_2. RNAcentral's name for it is "eukaryotic LSU rRNA". The stretch from base 192 to 345 matches the Rfam family "5.8S ribosomal RNA". Lineage: Eukaryota; Fungi; Ascomycota; Dothideomycetes; Cladosporiales; Cladosporiaceae. The record is from RNAcentral.
UCGGUUCUCGUAGGUGACCUGCGGAGGGAUCAUUACAAGUGACCCCGGUCUAACCACCGGGAUGUUCAUAACCCUUUGUUGUCCGACUCUGUUGCCUCCGGGGCGACCCUGCCUUCGGGCGGGGGCUCCGGGUGGACACUUCAAACUCUUGCGUAACUUUGCAGUCUGAGUAAACUUAAUUAAUAAAUUAAAACUUUUAACAACGGAUCUCUUGGUUCUGGCAUCGAUGAAGAACGCAGCGAAAUGCGAUAAGUAAUGUGAAUUGCAGAAUUCAGUGAAUCAUCGAAUCUUUGAACGCACAUUGCGCCCCCUGGUAUUCCGGGGGGCAUGCCUGUUCGAGCGUCAUUUCACCACUCAAGCCUCGCUUGGUAUUGGGCAACGCGGUCCGCCGCGUGCCUCAAAUCGACCGGCUGGGUCUUCUGUCCCCUAAGCGUUGUGGAAACUAUUCGCUAAAGGGUGUUCGGGAGGCUACGCCGUAAAACAACCCCAUUUCUAAGGUUGACCUCGGAUCAGGUAGGGAUACCCGCUGAACUUAAGCAUAUCAAAAGCCGGAGGAA